GAUGAACGCUAGCGGCAGGCUUAAUACAUGCAAGUCGAGGGGCAGCAUGAGUAGCAAUACUUGAUGGCGACCGGCAAACGGGUGCGGAACACGUACACAACCUUCCUUUAAGUGGGGAAUAGCCCAGAGAAAUUUGGAUUAAUACCCCGUAACAUAUAGAUGUGGCAUCACAAUUAUAUUAUAGGUUUACCGCUUAAAGAUGGGUGUGCGGCUGAUUAGAUAGUUGGCGGGGUAAUGGCCCACCAAGUCUACGAUCAGUAGCUGAUGUGAGAGCAUGAUCAGCCACACGGGCACUGAGACACGGGCCCGACUCCUACGGGAGGCAGCAGUAAGGAAUAUUGGACAAUGGACGCAAGUCUGAUCCAGCCAUGCCGCGUGAAGGAUUAAGGUCCUCUGGAUUGUAAACUUCUUUAUAUGGGACGAAAAAAGGGCAUUCUUGCUCACUUGACGGUACCAUAUGAAUAAGCACCGGCUAACUCCGUGCCAG
Molecule: ribosomal RNA, 487 nt
Filed under: uncultured bacterium
Lineage: Bacteria
Description: bacterial SSU rRNA
Rfam family: Bacterial small subunit ribosomal RNA
Source: RNAcentral